UUGAAGUUUUUUGAUGGGGAGUCGGACCUGCCCGGUGAAAUUUAUUUAACGGCCGCGGUACUCUGACCGUGCAAAGGUAGCAUAAUCAUUUGCCUUAUAAUUGAAGGCUGGUAUGAAUGGUUUGACAAGAAUGCGACUGUCUCUUUACAAUUUGGUAGAAUUUUAUUUUUAGGUGAAAAAGCCUUGAUUGGAUUAAAAGACAAGAAGACCCUAUCGAGCUUUAAAAAAAUUAAUGGGUGUUAAAUUUUUAUUUAAAAAAUACAGCUGUUAAAUAUUUUGGUUGGGGCGACUGAGGAACAUAGAGAGCUUCCUUUAUAUAUUGUUUAAAAUACAGUUAUUGAUCCGUAGUUAGCGAUUAAAGGAAUUAGUUACCGUAGGGAUAACAGCAUAAUCCUUUUUGAGAGCUCUAAUCGAAAAAGGGGUUUGUGACCUCGAUGUUGGACCAGAAUGUCCUAAAGAUGCAGAAGUCUUUAAGGGUUGGUCUGUUCGACCAUUAAAAUUCUA
This 504-nucleotide ribosomal RNA is filed under the name Terebra sp. MNHN IM 2009-9953. RNAcentral's name for it is "partial 16S ribosomal RNA". It matches the Rfam family "Bacterial large subunit ribosomal RNA", at positions 1832 to 2598 of the family's 2925-position model. The record is from RNAcentral. Lineage: Eukaryota; Metazoa; Mollusca; Gastropoda; Neogastropoda; Terebridae.